Molecule: ribosomal RNA, 410 nt
Filed under: Teesdalia nudicaulis
Lineage: Eukaryota; Viridiplantae; Streptophyta; Magnoliopsida; Brassicales; Brassicaceae
Description: eukaryotic LSU rRNA
Rfam family: Eukaryotic large subunit ribosomal RNA (bases 270-410)
Source: RNAcentral
UGCAGAAUCCCGUGAACCAUCGAGUCUUUGAACGCAAGUUGCGCCCAAAGCCUUCUGGCUGAGGGCACGUCUGCCUGGGUGUCACAAAUCGUCGUCCCCCAUCCUAUAAGGAUAGAGGACGGAAGCUGGUCUCCCGUGUGUUACCGCACGCGGCUGGCCAAAAUCCGAGCAAAGGACGUCAUGAGCGUCUCGACAUGCGGUGGUGAAAAGCCUCGUCAUAUCGUCGGUCGCUCUGUCCGGAAGCUCUUGAUGACCCAAAGGCCUCAACGCGACCCCAGGUCAGGCGGGAUCACCCGCUGAGUUUAAGCAUAUCAAUAAGCGGAGGAAAAGAAACUAACAAGGAUUCCCUUAGUAACGGCGAGCGAACCGGGAAGAGCCCAGCUUGAAAAUCGGACGUCUUUGGCGUUCGA